UACAAGUCCUCUGUUAAAUCCAACUGAUUAACAGAUGGGGCGGGGAGGAUACUAUAAGACUCGGAGGCAGGAGAGGCAAGCGGUAUUCAGUGGGUAGGGGUAAAAUCCGUUGAUCCAUUGAAGACCACCAGUGGCGAAGGGGGCUUUCCAGAAUGCGUUAGACGGUGAGGGAAGAAAGCUGGGGGAGCAAACCGGACUAGAUCCCCGGGUAGUCCCACCCGUAAACGAUGCAGACUCGGGGAUGGACUAGCUUCAUCCUAGUCCGGUUCCCCAGGGAAGCCGUUAAGUCUGCCCCCCGGGUAGUACGGUCGCAAGACUGAAACUUAA
Molecule: ribosomal RNA, 327 nt
Filed under: uncultured archaeon
Lineage: Archaea
Description: bacterial SSU rRNA
Rfam family: Archaeal small subunit ribosomal RNA
Source: RNAcentral